Molecule: ribosomal RNA, 412 nt
Filed under: uncultured eukaryote
Lineage: Eukaryota
Description: SSU rRNA
Rfam family: Eukaryotic small subunit ribosomal RNA
Source: RNAcentral
CAAUAGCGUAUAUUUAAGUUGUUGCAGUUAAAAAGCUCGUAGUUGGAUUUUGGGUGCGGCAGGCCGGUCCGCCGUUUGGUGUGCACUGGCUGGUCUCAACUUCCUGUAGAGGACGCGCUCUGGGUUAACGCUCGGACGCGGAGUCUACGUGGUUACUUUGAAAAAAUUAGAGUGUUCAAAGCGGGCUUACGCUUGAAUAUUUCAGCAUGGAAUAACACUAUAGGACUCCUGUCCUAUUUCGUUGGUCUCGGGACGGGAGUAAUGAUUAAGAGGAACAGUUGGGGGGCAUUCGUAUUUCAUUGUCAGAGGUGAAAUUCUUGGAUUUAUGAAAGACUAACUACUGCGAAAGCAUUUGCCAAGGAUGUUUUUCAUUAAUCAAGAACGAAAGUUAGGGGAUCGAAGAUGAUCAGAU